Molecule: long non-coding RNA, 2090 nt
Organism: Mus musculus (house mouse)
Lineage: Eukaryota; Metazoa; Chordata; Mammalia; Rodentia; Muridae
Product: predicted gene, 32701
Exons: 2
Source: RefSeq, a predicted model, not a curated record
UGAAAGCACCCAUCAUCUCCCAGCAUGCCCUGGGGUGAUGGUACACUGAUACCCAACAGCACCAAGGCCACCAAAUCAAGCUUGCCACCUCUUGUUUAUAUCCUCGCUGUCUGUCCAGGGCAAGACACUGCCACCACCAAUCAGCUCUUCUCUGCUUUCCCUGGCUAGGAGGAAGAGGUGGACCAUUCCCUGACCUGGGACCUCUGCUAAUGCCACAGAGCUAAGAGUCACCACCCCCAGCUCAUCAGAGAUAGCAGUGUCCAAAAGCCAAACAGCUUUGACUUUGAACUCGACCUGCCAGGACAAAGACAACCACCCCACUGUCCCCAAACAGCCAGAAACAACAGGCAGAGGCUCCAGGGGAGGUGGCAAGCCAGAACUGGCAGGUCAAGCCCAGCCCCACGUCAGAGUAGACUCCGAGGCAGGCGGACACUGGGCCACACUCUCUCAGGCCUAGCUUGGCUCUCUGGGCCUGGGGUUUGUCCUUGAGUACUGCAAGGCCGGAGUCAUGAAAGCCAUGGCUGGGUCUGGCCUGUCCUCCUCGGGACCCACUGAAAGAAAAAUCCCCUGCUGAGUCCACCUAAGAGAUGUCCUGCCGCACCUUCCGUUGGUCACCCACAGCCUGAACAUCUGGCAAAAACAGAGAGGCAUUUCAAGACCCUGGCACCCUUAGGCAGCUGUGACUCCUGCAAACUACCCUGCAGCUUAUCAGCCUGGUAAGAUCUGCCCACGGACGCAUUAGUGGCACGGAUAUUAUGGGUUUAGCCAAUACUCUCUGACUGGAUUUAAGGCCUUCUCCAUAGGACGAAAAACAUGCCCGAUACUAUAAAUCUGGCUGAGAAUCAAAUGGCUGAGACAGGCUCUGGGGGUGCUGUUCCCCCAUGACCCCAGAACUACUAUUUUGCUUACUGCCACACAGUGUAAAACUGCCCCUACAAUAUGUAUAUGGGCCACAGCAAUUGGAUUGAGUGGGUAAAUAAGGGGGAAAAAGAAAAGACAAGAAGAAAGUACUGGCUGUGGUGGCACGUGACUUUACUUCCAACGCUUGGGAGGCAGAGGCACAAGGAUCUAUGUGAGUUUAAGACCAGCCAGCACUAUCUAGUGAGAUCCUGUCUCGAAGGGGUGAACAAAACCAAAACCAAAACCAAAAUGGAUAUAAAAUCAGGAGUGGCCUGUAGGGGGAUCUGGGAGGAGUAGCAAGCGUGUAUCAUUGAAAUACGUUGUAUGAAUGUUGUGGUUCUCAAAGACUGAAUAAACGAUUUUACAUUUAAAAGAAGAGAAGACAUAGAUGCAGCUCAGUGGAAAAGAGCUUACCCAGCCCGUGCAAGGCCCUGGGUUCAAUCCCUACCACCACAACCAAAUCAACACAUGGUGGAAAACUAAAAAAAAAAAAAAAUUAAGAGCUGGCUCUCGGGGUGCACGCUGUUGGAGCACACGCCAGUCACUUUAGCGCUCAGGCAGCUAAGGCAGAGGGUUGACUGGCUUUCUGAGGCCAGCCUUGCUGCAUGGCAAUCACCCGCUUCACAACAGCAAGAGGACAAAACAAAGACAAAACAGGCUUUGCCAGGAAAAGGUCCCAGGAGGGUGUUCCAGCAAAGGCUGGCCUGCCGAGCAAGCGUGCGGGGCUCCGUGUCCACCCAUGACAGGAGUGUUUAUAAACCGAGACUCUAGGAAACAUCUGUGGAGCUGCUGGGAGAUUACCAACCUGCCUCUGCCAACACGAGACAAGUCCCACGGGUGCUCAUGGCUCCACUCGUGUGUGUGUGACCUGGUGGAUUAAAUUAGAUCCAUCCCCAGCCCUGAACAAAGUGGGCACAGUGCCCACCUCUGCCACCCCAGCCCUCCAGAAGCACAGGCAGGAGGAGCAGGAGUCCCAGGCCAUCCUCAGCUACAUAGUGAAUUCAGGGCUAGCCUGGGCUACGUAAGACCAUCUCAAAAAGAAAAAGGGAGGGGAAGGGGAAGGACUCAGUAUACUACUGGGGGAGAGAAUACAGAAGGAAAUAUGCACAGGGCGUUGUGAGUCCUACUGUGAGAAAUUCCAGAAUAAACAAGGCUGGCGUGUCUCAAUAAAGGUUUUUAUAUUCUUUUAA